GAGCUUUAACUCCAUAUUGUGUUCAUAUACGUAUAUCUUAGACAUAUUAUUGUUGUACAUAGAUAAGGAGAGUGUAAAUUCAUGUCAACCAGUCGUGAAAUAGAAUGGAUCUAGUUUCCGCUUCAAAACAGAAGAGCGGGCCAGGAAAAGGAAAGAGGCAAGGACCAAUUUCUUGUGUCUACUCGAUAAAUUUCAAACGUCGUAUAAAACCUAAAAGAAGUCUUUGAUAUUGAUUUCAGUUCUUUAUGAAGCUAGAGGAGAAAGUGCAUGACAAAAAGGAAGAAACACGUCAGCUCCAAGCGAGAAAACAGGAAAAGAAGAAGCAGAGAUAAAACAGCUACGGAGAAAUCUCAAUUUCAAAGCAACUCCCAUGCCUGCCUUUUACCGUGAACCUGGCCACCGCUCAGAAAAAAACAAGGACGGACAGAUCUGGGAGGAUACAGGAGCAAGAGCUGUAGUCAGAGGCAGAUGGGGGAUGGACAGAGAGAGAGAAAUUCUAGAUGUUCUGAGGGCAAACACUGUUAUUUUCUGUGUUGAAACUAGGAGCUAGCAAGUAAAACUAAAUCACAAAGCAGUCCUUCGACUGCAGCAAGAGCUAGAGCUACUAGUCCAACUGAGAACACUGUUCGUUGUUUAAGGGCAGAAAUUUAUAAUAGAUGUUCCACUAAUGAAUGCCUAAAUAUGGCCGAUUCACCACAGGUUUCAGAAGUAACUAUUCAUCCUUCAGCAGAUUUAUCAUACAGCAACGUGCCUUCAGCUGCAACAAGCUAAACGUCCAAACAAACCCAAUCAAAUAGAACAGUAGCUCCAAAGAGAGAGCAAGAGAAAAGGCAGGUCGCGAAUU
Capsicum annuum is the source of this 844-nucleotide long non-coding RNA. RefSeq lists it as uncharacterized. The record is from RefSeq and is a predicted model, not a curated record. Lineage: Eukaryota; Viridiplantae; Streptophyta; Magnoliopsida; Solanales; Solanaceae. The transcript has 3 exons.